RNAcentral lists this ribosomal RNA (749 nucleotides) under uncultured Carnobacterium sp. RNAcentral describes it as "bacterial SSU rRNA". It matches the Rfam family "Bacterial small subunit ribosomal RNA", at positions 8 to 734 of the family's 1533-position model. The record is from RNAcentral. Lineage: Bacteria; Bacillati; Bacillota; Bacilli; Lactobacillales; Carnobacteriaceae.
AGAGUUUGAUCAUGGCUCAGGACGAACGCUGGCGGCGUGCCUAAUACAUGCAAGUCGAACGCACGAAGUUGAAGAGCUUGCUCUUUAACCAAGUGAGUGGCGGACGGGUGAGUAACACGUGGGUAACCUGCCCAUUAGAGGGGGAUAACAUUCGGAAACGGAUGCUAAUACCGCAUAGUUUCAGGGAUCGCAUGAUUCUUGAAGGAAAGGUGGCUCCGGCUACCACUAAUGGAUGGACCCGCGGCGUAUUAGCUAGUUGGUGAGGUAAUGGCUCACCAAGGCAAUGAUACGUAGCCGACCUGAGAGGGUGAUCGGCCACACUGGGACUGAGACACGGCCCAGACUCCUACGGGAGGCAGCAGUAGGGAAUCUUCCGCAAUGGACGAAAGUCUGACGGAGCAACGCCGCGUGAGUGAAGAAGGUUUUCGGAUCGUAAAACUCUGUUGUUAAAGAAGAACAAGGAUGAGAGUAACUGCUCAUCCCCUGACGGUAUUUAACCAGAAAGCCACGGCUAACUACGUGCCAGCAGCCGCGGUAAUACGUAGGUGGCAAGCGUUGUCCGGAUUUAUUGGGCGUAAAGCGAGCGCAGGCGGUUCUUUAAGUCUGAUGUGAAAGCCCCCGGCUCAACCGGGGAGGGUCAUUGGAAACUGGAGAACUUGAGUGCAGAAGAGGAGAGUGGAAUUCCACGUGUAGCGGUGAAAUGCGUAGAUAUGUGGAGGAGCACCAGUGGCGAAGGCGACUCUCUGGUC